Molecule: ribosomal RNA, 1018 nt
Filed under: uncultured bacterium
Lineage: Bacteria
Description: bacterial SSU rRNA
Rfam family: Bacterial small subunit ribosomal RNA
Source: RNAcentral
AGGAAUAUUGGUCAAUGGGCGAGAGCCUGAACCAGCCAAGUAGCGUGCAGGACGACGGCCCUAUGGGUUGUAAACUGCUUUUAUAAGGGAAUAAAGUGAGUCUCGUGAGACUUUUUGCAUGUACCUUAUGAAUAAGGACCGGCUAAUUCCGUGCCAGCAGCCGCGGUAAUACGGAAGGUCCGGGCGUUAUCCGGAUUUAUUGGGUUUAAAGGGAGCGUAGGCCGGAGAUUAAGCGUGUUGUGAAAUGUAGACGCUCAACGUCUGCACUGCAGCGCGAACUGGUUUCCUUGAGUACGCACAAAGUGGGCGGAAUUCGUGGUGUAGCGGUGAAAUGCUUAGAUAUCACGAAGAACUCCGAUUGCGAAGGCAGCUCACUGGAGCGCAACUGACGCUGAAGCUCGAAAGUGCGGGUAUCGAACAGGAUUAGAUACCCUGGUAGUCCGCACGGUAAACGAUGGAUGCCCGCUGUUGGUCUGAAUAGGUCAGCGGCCAAGCGAAAGCAUUAAGCAUCCCACCUGGGGAGUACGCCGGCAACGGUGAAACUCAAAGGAAUUGACGGGGGCCCGCACAAGCGGAGGAACAUGUGGUUUAAUUCGAUGAUACGCGAGGAACCUUACCCGGGCUUGAAUUGCAGAGGAAGGAUUUGGAGACAAUGACGCCCUUCGGGGUCUCUGUGAAGGUGCUGCAUGGUUGUCGUCAGCUCGUGCCGUGAGGUGUCGGCUUAAGUGCCAUAACGAGCGCAACCCCUCUCCUUAGUUGCCAUCAGGUCAAGCUGGGCACUCUGGGGACACUGCCACCGUAAGGUGUGAGGAAGGUGGGGAUGACGUCAAAUCAGCACGGCCCUUACGUCCGGGGCUACACACGUGUUACAAUGGCAGGUACAGAGAGAUGGUGUUCUGCAAAGCGCAUCAAAUCCUUAAAGCCUGUCUCAGUUCGGACUGGGGUCUGCAACCCGACCCCACGAAGCUGGAUUCGCUAGUAAUCGCGCAUCAGCCAUGGCGCGGUGAAUACGUUCCCG